This 22-nucleotide microRNA is filed under the name Magallana gigas (Pacific oyster). RNAcentral's name for it is "Mgi-Mir-184-P13b_3p (mature (guide))". The record is from RNAcentral. Lineage: Eukaryota; Metazoa; Mollusca; Bivalvia; Ostreida; Ostreidae.
UGGACGGAAGUCUGAUGAGGGU